GCUUGCUCCCUGAUGUUAGCGGCGGACGGGUGAGUAACACGUGGGUAACCUGCCUGUAAGACUGGGAUAACUCCGGGAAACCGGGGCUAAUACCGGAUGGUUGUUUGAACCGCAUGGUUCAGACAUAAAAGGUGGCUUCGGCUACCACUUACAGAUGGACCCGCGGCGCAUUAGCUAGUUGGUGAGGUAACGGCUCACCAAGGCGACGAUGCGUAGCCGACCUGAGAGGGUGAUCGGCCACACUGGGACUGAGACACGGCCCAGACUCCUACGGGAGGCAGCAGUAGGGAAUCUUCCGCAAUGGACGAAAGUCUGACGGAGCAACGCCGCGUGAGUGAUGAAGGUUUUCGGAUCGUAAAGCUCUGUUGUUAGGGAAGAACAAGUGCCGUUCAAAUAGGGCGGCACCUUGACGGUACCUAACCAGAAAGCCACGGCUAACUACGUGCCAGCAGCCGCGGUAAUACGUAGGUGGCAAGCGUUGUCCGGAAUUAUUGGGCGUAAAGGGCUCGCAGGCGGUUUCUUAAGUCUGAUGUGAAAGCCCCCGGCUCAACCGGGGAGGGUCAUUGGAAACUGGGGAACUUGAGUGCAGAAGAGGAGAGUGGAAUUCCACGUGUAGCGGUGAAAUGCGUAGAGAUGUGGAGGAACACCAGUGGCGAAGGCGACUCUCUGGUCUGUAACUGACGCUGAGGAGCGAAAGCGUGGGGAGCGAACAGGAUUAGAUACCCUGGUAGUCCACGCCGUAAACGAUGAGUGCUAAGGGGUUAGGGGGUUUCCGCCCCUUAGUGCUGCAGCUAACGCAUAAGCACUCCGCCUGGGGGAGUACGGUCGCAGACUGAACUCAAAGGAAAUUGACGGGG
RNAcentral lists this ribosomal RNA (857 nucleotides) under Bacillus siamensis. RNAcentral's name for it is "bacterial SSU rRNA". It matches the Rfam family "Bacterial small subunit ribosomal RNA", at positions 78 to 918 of the family's 1533-position model. Lineage: Bacteria; Bacillati; Bacillota; Bacilli; Caryophanales; Bacillaceae. The record is from RNAcentral.